This 254-nucleotide ribosomal RNA is filed under the name uncultured bacterium. RNAcentral's name for it is "partial 16S ribosomal RNA". It matches the Rfam family "Bacterial small subunit ribosomal RNA", at positions 524 to 776 of the family's 1533-position model. The record is from RNAcentral.
UACGGGGGGGGCAAGCGUUGUUCGGAAUUACUGGGCGUAAAGGGCUCGUAGGUGGCCAACUAAGUCAGACGUGAAAGCCCCCGGCUCAACUGGGGAGGGUCACGCGAUACUGAUCGACUCGAAGGCAGGAGAGGGUAGUGGAAUUCCCGGUGUAGUGGUGAGAUGCGUAGAUAUCGGGAGGAACACCAGUGGCGAAGGCGACUACCUGGCCUGUUUCUUGACGCUGAGGCGCGAAAGCUAGGGGAGCAAACGGG